Molecule: ribosomal RNA, 808 nt
Filed under: uncultured bacterium
Lineage: Bacteria
Description: bacterial SSU rRNA
Rfam family: Bacterial small subunit ribosomal RNA
Source: RNAcentral
UNUGACUUGAGUGCAGAAGGGGAGAGUGGAAUUCUAUGUGUAGCGGUGAAAUGCGUAGAUAUAUGGAGGAACACCAGUGGCGAAAGCGGCUCUCUGGUCUGUCACUGACGCUGAGGCUCGAAAGCGUGGGUAGCGAACAGGAUUAGAUACCCUGGUAGUCCACGCCGUAAACGAUGAGUGCUAGGUGUUAGGCCCUUUCCGGGGCUUAGUGCCGGAGCUAACGCAAUAAGCACUCCGCCUGGGGAGUACGACCGCAAGGUUGAAACUCAAAGGAAUUGACGGGGGCCCGCACAAGCGGUGGAGCAUGUGGUUUAAUUCGAAGCAACGCGAAGAACCUUACCAGGUCUUGACAUCCCGAUGCUAUUCUUAGAGAUAGGAAGUUACUUCGGUACAUCGGAGACAGGUGGUGCAUGGUUGUCGUCAGCUCGUGUCGUGAGAUGUUGGGUUAAGUCCCGCAACGAGCGCAACCCUUAUUGUUGGUUGCCAUCAUUAAGUUGGGCACUCUAGCGAGACUGCCGGUAAUAAACCGGAGGAAGGUGGGGAUGACGUCAAAUCAUCAUGCCCCUUAUGACCUGGGCUACACACGUGCUACAAUGGUCGGUACAACGAGUUGCGAGCCGGUGACGGCAAGCUAAUCUCUGAAAGCCGAUCUCAGUUCGGAUUGGAGGCUGCAACUCGCCUCCAUGAAGUCGGAAUCGCUAGUAAUCGCGGAUCAGCACGCCGCGGUGAAUACGUUCCCGGGCCUUGUACACACCGCCCGUCACACCACGAGAGUUUGUAACACCCGAAGUCGGUGAGGUAACCUUCU